AACACUAUAUUUUCAGGGCUCAUUUCUAUAGUUUAUUUAGAGAAGUUUGCCUGAAUGUUUGAGCAUUGUCUCCUGCAUCUAAAGUGAUUCUAGUGUUGCUUCGGUGUAAAUUCCUUUGAUGAUUGUUCUUUUCCUUUAGGAGAGUAACAGGGAGAGAUCACAAUCUGG
RNAcentral lists this small nucleolar RNA (168 nucleotides) under Cavia porcellus (domestic guinea pig). RNAcentral's name for it is "Small nucleolar RNA U3". It matches the Rfam family "Small nucleolar RNA U3". Rfam says of the family: Small nucleolar RNAs (snoRNAs) are involved in the processing and modification of rRNA in the nucleolus. Lineage: Eukaryota; Metazoa; Chordata; Mammalia; Rodentia; Caviidae. The record is from Rfam by way of RNAcentral.